This 468-nucleotide ribosomal RNA is filed under the name uncultured bacterium. RNAcentral's name for it is "partial 16S ribosomal RNA". It matches the Rfam family "Bacterial small subunit ribosomal RNA", at positions 28 to 507 of the family's 1533-position model. The record is from RNAcentral.
GACGAACGCUGGCGGCGUGCUUAACACAUGCAAGUCGAACGGAAAGGCCCUGCUUUUGUGGGGUGCCCGAGUGGCGAACGGGUGCGUAACACGUGAGUAACCUGCCCUUGUCUUUGGGAUAACUUCAGGAAACUGGGGCUAAUAUCGGAUAGGAUCUCCUGCUGCAUGGUGGGGGUUGGAAAGUUUCGGCGGUUGGGGAUGGACUCGCGGCUUACCAGCUUGCUGGUGGGGUAGUGGCUUACCAAGGCUUUGACGGGUAGCCGGCCUGAGAGGGUGACCGGCCACAUUGGGACUGAGAUACGGCGCAGACUCCAACGGGAGGCAGCAGUGGGGAAUCUUGCACAAUGGGCGGAAGCCUGAUGCAGCAACGCCGCGUGCGGGAUGACGGCCUUCGGGUUGUAAACCGCUUUCGCCUGUGACGAAGCGUGAGUGACGGUAAUGGGUAAAGAAGCACCGGCUAACUACGUG